Molecule: ribosomal RNA, 459 nt
Filed under: uncultured bacterium
Lineage: Bacteria
Description: partial 16S ribosomal RNA
Rfam family: Bacterial small subunit ribosomal RNA
Source: RNAcentral
CCUACGGGAGGCAGCAGUGAGGAAUAUUGGUCAAUGGUCGGGAGACUGAACCAGCCAAGCCGCGUGAGGGAUGAAGGUACAGAGUAUCGUAAACCUCUUUUGUCAGGGAACAAAGGCGGGGACGUGUCCCCGGAUGAGUGUACCUGAAGAAAAAGCAUCGGCUAACUCCGUGCCAGCAGCCGCGGUAAUACGGAGGAUGCGAGCGUUAUCCGGAUUUAUUGGGUUUAAAGGGUGCGCAGGCGGUCUGUUAAGUCAGCGGUCAAAGCCCGGGGCUCAACCCCGGCCCGCCGUUGAAACUGGCAGUCUCGAGUUGGAGAGAAGUAUGCGGAAUGCGCGGUGUAGCGGUGAAAUGCAUAGAUAUCGCGCAGAACUCCGAUUGCGAAGGCAGCAUGCCGGCUCCACACUGACGCUGAGGCACGAAAGCGUGGGUAUCGAACAGGAUUAGAUACCCUUGUAGUC